This 404-nucleotide ribosomal RNA is filed under the name uncultured bacterium. RNAcentral describes it as "bacterial SSU rRNA". It matches the Rfam family "Bacterial small subunit ribosomal RNA", at positions 355 to 751 of the family's 1533-position model. The record is from RNAcentral.
UGGGGAAUAUUGGACAAUGGGCGCAAGCCUGAUCCAGCCAUACCGCGUGGGUGAAGAAGGCCUUCGGGUUGUAAAGCCCUUUUGUUGGGAAAGAAAUCCAGCUGGCUAAUACCCGGUUGGGAUGACGGUACCCAAAGAAUAAGCACCGGCUAACUUCGUGCCAGCAGCCGCGGUAAUACGAAGGGUGCAAGCGUUACUCGGAAUUACUGGGCGUAAAGCGUGCGUAGGUGGUCGUUUAAGUCCGUUGUGAAAGCCCUGGGCUCAACCUGGGAACUGCAGUGGAUACUGGACGACUAGAGUGUGGUAGAGGGUAGCGGAAUUCCUGGUGUAGCAGUGAAAUGCGUAGAGAUCAGGAGGAACAUCCAUGGCGAAGGCAGCUACCUGGACCAACACUGACACUGAGG